GCUCAGUAAUUCAAGUUUCAAAAUGUUAUAGUUGUCAAGAAAAUUACAUAUCUUAAAUUCUUUUGCAAGGUGCAGGAAUCUAAUAUUGGUUCUAAAAAUAUCAUUGAUGUCAUCGUUAAAGUAGUCUUAACAAGAGGCUCUCAAGAGCCUGAAUCGCUCACCUAUUGUUAUUUUUUGCUUAAAUCUUUCAUCAAUGAUUAUUUUUGCAGUUUACCCAUAUGUUCCAUUUUAGCCUUAGUGUCUUUGUUUCUUUACGUACCAGGG
RNAcentral lists this long non-coding RNA (264 nucleotides) under Mytilus galloprovincialis (Mediterranean mussel). Lineage: Eukaryota; Metazoa; Mollusca; Bivalvia; Mytilida; Mytilidae. The record is from RNAcentral.